Erinaceus europaeus (western European hedgehog) is the source of this 79-nucleotide non-coding RNA. The record is from Rfam. NCBI's taxonomy places the organism in Eukaryota, Metazoa, Chordata, Mammalia, Eulipotyphla, Erinaceidae.
GGCUUAUCCGUGAUGUCAGCGAAUAAAUGUCUGAACAUAUGAGUUCAACACUGAUUUCAGCAUGUGGCUGAGAUGAGCU